AGUGAACGCUGGCGGUAGGCCUAACACAUGCAAGUCGAACGGCAGCACAGUAAGAGCUUGCUCUUACGGGUGGCGAGUGGCGGACGGGUGAGGAAUACAUCGGAAUCUACUUUUUCGUGGGGGAUAACGUAGGGAAGCUUACGCUAAUACCGCAUACGACCUACGGGUGAAAGCAGUGGAUCUUCGGACCUUGCGCGAUUGAAUGAGCCGAUGUCGGAUUAGCUAGUUGGCGGGGUAAAGGCCCACCAAGGCGACGAUCCGUAGCUGGUCUGAGAGGAUGAUCGGCCACACUGGAACUGAGACACGGUCCAGACUCCUACGGGAGGCAGCAGUGGGGAAUAUUGGACAAUGGGCGCAAGCCUGAUCCAGCCAUACCGCGUGGGUGAAGAAGGCCUUCGGGUUGUAAAGCCCUUUUGUUGGGAAAGAAAAGCAGCAGGUUAAUACCCCGCUGUUCUGACGGUACCCAAAGAAUAAGCACCGGCUAACUUCGUG
RNAcentral lists this ribosomal RNA (492 nucleotides) under uncultured bacterium. RNAcentral describes it as "partial 16S ribosomal RNA". It matches the Rfam family "Bacterial small subunit ribosomal RNA", at positions 29 to 507 of the family's 1533-position model. The record is from RNAcentral.